GAGUUUGAUCGUGGCUCAGAUUGAACGCUGGCGGCAGGCCUAACACAUGCAAGUCGAGCGGCAGCACAAAGGGAGUUCACUUCUGAGGUGGCGAGCGGCGGACGGGUGAGUAAUGCCUAGGGAUCUGCCCAGUCGAGGGGGAUAACAGUUGGAAACGACUGCUAAUACCGCAUACGCCCUACGGGGGAAAGGAGGGGACCUUCGGGCCUUCCGCGAUUGGAUGAACCUAGGUGGGAUUAGCUAGUUGGUGAGGUAAUGGCUCACCAAAGGCGACGGAUCCCUAGCUGUUCUGAGAGGAUGAUCAGCCACACUGGGACUGAGACACGGCCCAAGACUCCUACGGGAGGCAGCAGUGGGGAAU
RNAcentral lists this ribosomal RNA (361 nucleotides) under uncultured Gammaproteobacteria bacterium. RNAcentral's name for it is "bacterial SSU rRNA". It matches the Rfam family "Bacterial small subunit ribosomal RNA", at positions 9 to 362 of the family's 1533-position model. Lineage: Bacteria; Pseudomonadati; Pseudomonadota; Gammaproteobacteria. The record is from RNAcentral.